CAGCUGGGGUUUAGUCCUGUUUUCUCCUCAGAGCAGAAGUCCUGGGAUGCCGUUCUGGACUGAUUGUCAGUUUUUUCUCCUGUCCUUGAGCUAUUCUAAUGCCAGACAUCUGUGGCUUUACACAGCCAGGCUUUCAGUUAGAGAACUUGGUUAGCUCAGGUCAACAAAUGCUGCUCUGAGAACACUGACUCCCAUGUGGGGAGACUCUGCACCUGGAGCUCCGGGAGAGCCGGCUCAGGCCUCUUCCUGCUAUCCAGGGAACUGCAGUGGCGUUGGAGGGCCUUGCUGGGGCUGGGGCUGGGGAGAAGGGAUUCCAACCCUACUGAUAAUUCGUUUGGAAACACCGGGCUGUGGAUUUCAGAAGUUCUUGGGCAGCCUGAUUACCACUGGCAGUGAGCCGGGGACGAAGCCGAAGCUAUGAGUGACAGACGGAAAGAACUGGGGGCUUUGGUGAACCAGAGAACACUUAGCUCCUCCAGCCCUGAAGCAGGCGUCACCGCAGGGCUUAUGGUCCUAAGAGCCACUUAGUUUCCUUAUUCAUUAAACUAGUUUAAUUUGGGUUUUCUGCAUCCUGGAGGACACCAAGUCGGUGUGCGGAGGGACCCUGUAGACACGUGUGCAAAGAAUAAGCCGACGAUCAUGGAAUUUCUGAUGACGCCACUGACACGUGGGAUGGAGGCCUCCUUCCCAGGGCACCCCUACACUCAUGACAAUGAAUCCUGGCUCUUAUUCACCCCUUUGGAUUUCACAAGCAAGUAAGAAAAGAGAAGGACAGAAUUAAACAUGGGGACAGAUGAAGAAGUAAAGAAGAUGAAAAUGAGGAAGAUAAAAAACAAACUGAAGACACAAUGUGAACCCUGGGAAUUCAAGGCUGAAUAGUACGAAGUCCUUUCCUCACAGAGUUCAGGACCCAGGAGUGGAGGCCAGAUAAGGGUUCAUUGAGCACAGACAUAUUAGAAAAUAACAAAGGAAAGAGGAUACUUUUUGGCGGUGGUAUUGUCUAAAACAUGAGAACACUUCAAGACCAAGACCAAGAUGGGGGUGUCUGGCUUAUGGUCUUCAGAGAAGGAGAAAGUCGUGUGCGUGCAGAGGCUGAGGGCCACACAGCAAGCUGUGAUUUCAUAGCAGUACAGAGUUGUGUUUGUUCCAGACUGCGCUGGCCUUGAGGAAAAGACAAGGAUGUGUCCAAUAAUUAUGAUGAGACUGAAUAUCUAACAAAGCUAGUAGGGGUUUAUUUUAAUGUCCUUCCUUAAGGUUCCUGUAGCUUCUGUUUUGUUCUGAGUAGCUUUUGAAGUUUCUCUGCUCUGUGACAGUCCCAUCUCUAAAUCCAUCUCUAAACCCAACGUAACUGACCUGGGUCCGCUCCCAGCUCUGGAAAAUUACAUUUUCUUGGACAAUUCACUUAAUUUCUUUCUUACAUUGUUAAAAAAAAUCUAUGCGGUGAGGGUUUUGAAAGUACGUACUUCAAAGAAUUAUUUAGAGUAAUAAGUAAAAUAAUUCAUAUGCUUAGAAUAC
Homo sapiens (human) is the source of this 1515-nucleotide long non-coding RNA. The record is from Ensembl. NCBI's taxonomy places the organism in Eukaryota, Metazoa, Chordata, Mammalia, Primates, Hominidae.